Molecule: ribosomal RNA, 490 nt
Filed under: uncultured bacterium
Lineage: Bacteria
Description: partial 16S ribosomal RNA
Rfam family: Bacterial small subunit ribosomal RNA
Source: RNAcentral
AUUGAACGCUGGCGGCAGGCCUAACACAUGCAAGUCGAAUGGUAACAGGAAACAGCUUGCUGUUUCGCUGACGAGUGGCGGACGGGUGAGUAAUGUCUGGGAAACUGCCUGAUGGAGGGGGAUAACUACUGGAAACGGUAGCUAAUACCGCAUAACGUCGCAAGACCAAAGAGGGGGACCUUCGGGCCUCUUGCCAUCAGAUGUGCCCAGAUGGGAUUAGCUAGUAGGUGGGGUAACGGCACACCUAGGCGACGAUCCCUAGCUGGUCUGAGAGGAUGACCAGCCACACUGGAACUGAGACACGGUCCAGACUCCUACGGGAGGCAGCAGUGGGGAAUAUUGCACAAUGGGCGCAAGCCUGAUGCAGCCAUGCCGCGUGUAUGAAGAAGGCCUUCGGGUUGUAAAGUACUUUCAGCGGGGAGGAAGGGAGUAAAGUUAAUACCUUUGCUCAUUGACGUUACCCGCAGAAGAAGCACCGGCUAACUCCGUG